Molecule: non-coding RNA, 73 nt
Organism: Podarcis lilfordi (Lilford's wall lizard)
Lineage: Eukaryota; Metazoa; Chordata; Lepidosauria; Squamata; Lacertidae
Source: the annotation of a GenBank genome assembly
ACCAGGAUAGCUCAGUUGUUAGAGCAUGAGAUGCUUAAUCCCAGGGUUGUGGGUUCAAGCCCCACGGUCGGUG